RNAcentral lists this ribosomal RNA (486 nucleotides) under uncultured bacterium. RNAcentral describes it as "bacterial SSU rRNA". It matches the Rfam family "Bacterial small subunit ribosomal RNA", at positions 30 to 511 of the family's 1533-position model. The record is from RNAcentral.
AUUGAACGCUGGCGGCAUGCUUUACACAUGCAAGUCGAACGGUAACAGGUCUUCGGAUGCUGACGAGUGGCGAACGGGUGAGUAAUGCAUCGGAACGUGCCCAGUCGUGGGGGAUAACGCAGCGAAAGCUGUGCUAAUACCGCAUACGAUCUAUGGAUGAAAGCGGGGGACCGUAAGGCCUCGCGCGAUUGGAGCGGCCGAUGUCAGAUUAGGUAGUUGGUGAGGUAAAGGCUCACCAAGCCAACGAUCUGUAGCUGGUCUGAGAGGACGACCAGCCACACUGGAACUGAGACACGGUCCAGACUCCUACGGGAGGCAGCAGUGGGGAAUUUUGGACAAUGGACGCAAGUCUGAUCCAGCCAUUCCGCGUGCAGGAUGAAGGCCCUCGGGUUGUAAACUGCUUUUGUACGGAACGAAAAGGUCUCUCCUAAUACGAGGGGCUCAUGACGGUACCGUAAGAAUAAGCACCGGCUAACUACGUGCCAG